CCGCCUGGCUGCCCUCAGCAGGGGGCUCGCACGCACUCAUACCCCAGCCAACUUUGUAGCAUUGGGGUGAGAGCUAGGACGGGGUGGAGGGACAGUGGCACCGAAUGCCGGACGGUGCAGGAGCCGGGCGCAACGCGGCACACAAGGACCCAGACAUUCCCAUCCUGGCAGGUGACAUGAUACCCUUGAAGCAUUUUCCAUGGAAUGGGACAUAAUAAGAGGGGUCAGAGGCUUCCCAAAUCAGCAGACAGGCUGAAGGAUCCUGUGGAUGGCCUGGGCUCUGAUGGGCAGUGCGUCUGCUCCACGCGAUGCUCAACGUGCAUCCACUGGACUGGACGUCCGAGCAGCUCACUCACUGGGCUGACGGCUGGCACUGGCCAUUGCUGGGAGCGCAGCUGAGACUUUUGACCAGAGCACCUCAGUUCCCUCUCCUGGGGCCUUGCCGUGUGGUUCCAGCUUCUAAAAUUAGGGUACCUGAAUUCCUUGAGAAAGAAAUAGAAGCUUCCAACCUUCUUAAGACCCGGUUCAGAAGUCCCAGCUGUCAUCCUAUUGGCCAGAGUGGGGAAAGGGCCUGACUGGACUUGAGCUUGGGAAACAAGCUCCGUCUCUGGAUGGGAGGGAGGACUGGCAGGUGCCUCAGGGAGGGCAUCGUUGCUGGGGACCAUCUUUGGAGCUUAGGAGGUUGGUGUCCACUUGAGGAAGACGGCUCUGGUUGCUGUGAAGAGGAGGCUGUGCAGUCAGAGUCCACCAGCCCUUCUCACGCUGACUUCAGCCUCUGCAUCAAAGGCCUGCCCACUCAGGGCUUCUGGGUGUGAGCACUGAGUGAGCAGGAUUCAAGACCUCCCUGUGGCCAGCAUCUUCAUAAACAGGCCACAGAAGUUUGCUUCAUUUUGAUCCUUGGCUUCUGCCCCCAGCUCCUCCACAAACCAGAAUGUGGCUGCUCCAUAGAAGCGGCCCACGCUUGACCCCCCAGCUCGGAUCCUGCAGUUCAGCGCCAACGCGAGCAAUUUAGCGCCAACUGUCACAUUUGUCCAGCAUGGUGCUGUGAGGAUAUUCAUCAGCAUGGGGCUUGGAAAGUCUAGAACAGGUCCCCUAGUGAGUCUCUCUGAGGGAAUAGAUAGGAACACUGUGGUGUGUGCACAAGGUGGAGUACUAUGCAGCAGUGAAAACUGAAUGAAAAUGCAGCAACAUGAACAGAUUCUAGACAUUUGACAUUUAGAGCCAAGGUGGGGGCAGCGUAGUGCUGAUGGUGCAAGCAGAGGCUCUGGAGCUGCUGAGGGUUCCAAUCCCUCCUCCCCCAGUGGCCAUGACCUUGGGCAAGUCACUUACCGUCUCUGAGAUACUUACAUCCUCAGAAAUAUGCAGGCAGGAAGGUAGGCUCACUCUAUGGAUGGUUGGUUGCUACUCACCUUUUCCACGUACAAAUGGGAGGGGCAGAGAAGGGCACGAAGAGAAUGUGGAGUGCUGGCCCUGAGUAUGACAAGCCACUACUUAAUGAUAACUAACUGGACCUCAGGGGAGACAGCCACAGCUAGGUGACCAUACGUCCCGGGACAGAACAGAUCCAUGCCUAGUGUCCCAGCUUCUUAUCCCGCUUAGACAAAGAUGGGCAAAGAAAGUGGCUUUACAGAAGGGAGAGACAGACACAGAGAGGACAACGCCACCUCAGGACACUGAGAGACACAGAAAGAAGGCAUGUGACAGCAGAGGCAGAGAUCAGAGCGAUGGCGCUAUCUGCCAAGGAAAGCCAAGCGGCAGAAAGAGGAACCUGGAAAAAAAGCUCAAGACGGAUGCUCCCCCAAGUCUCCAGAAGGACCAGCCUGCCGACACCUAGAUGCCGGCUUCUGGCCUGCAGAGCUGUGAGGGAAUCAACCUCUGUUGUUUGAACCCCUCUAGUUAGUGGUGCUUGUGAAUGGCAGUCCUAGGAAACCAAUAGAGAUUUAGGCCAUCUCAAUGUAUGUACUUGUUAAAGAUGUGACAUUAUAAGUC
This is a long non-coding RNA of Pteronotus mesoamericanus, 1989 nucleotides long. RefSeq lists it as uncharacterized. The transcript has 3 exons. The record is from RefSeq and is a predicted model, not a curated record. Lineage: Eukaryota; Metazoa; Chordata; Mammalia; Chiroptera; Mormoopidae.